UAGCUGAAGCAGCCAUCUUGUGACCACAAGCAACGGACUAGUAGGGGAAGAGUCGACACACUGAAGAGAAGAAAGCAAUGUUUUUUUCUAGAAAGAAGAAAGAGAAAAGUGGAUUCUCAACUAGAAGCAAAAACAUCCACUGAAGUUUGUGAGAGUGCAAUAGGCAGUGCCACAGAUCUUUCUGAGGAAGUACUACCAUAUGACUUCACCUUCUCAGGCUGAGGUAUCAGCUUGACUGUCACUCCACAGAUCAAGACUAGAGGUAAAUGUAAACACUAUACAGGUGGGAUGAGAAACAGCUGUUCAGCUGCCUGGCUAGAAGAACAGGCCCAGUUCUUUGCUACAGGAUGGACAUGGAAAAGUUCAGGCAUUUGAAGUUACUGGCGUCAGCCACAUGAGAUUGAUGACGGGAUUGGCUUCUACAAGAGGUCCAUGUGGUUCUCAUUUCUGAAAACAGAUGUUUGGAAACCAAUGUUUUCAAAGAUAAUAUGAAACUACACCAAUAUGCUGCACUAUGGAGAAAAACUAACCUUGACAGAAGAAAAAAGAUUUUCUUGAGGCAGAAGAUGAAGGACUAUUGGUCGGGACAUUCACAGAAGUCUGUUCUGUAAGUUGGGUUAUAUGGAAGCAGAGAUGCUAGGUCAACCCAUGUUGUGCCCUCCCU
RNAcentral lists this long non-coding RNA (664 nucleotides) under Homo sapiens (human). Its description in RNAcentral is "non-protein coding lnc-PRDM9-18:4". Lineage: Eukaryota; Metazoa; Chordata; Mammalia; Primates; Hominidae. The record is from RNAcentral.